CCCUAAAAGCACACAAAAAAAUGUCAAAGGAAUCAACCUCAUGACAGACUUGACAGCAUUAAUUCCACAUAUAAGAAAUACACCAUUGUUCAGAUUUUGCCUCAUGACGCUGACUCUGGUGUUAUGGCUGAAGGUGCGUCUAUGGUCACCACUGUCACCCACACGCUGCCCUUUGGUCGGUCUUCGCUGCCGUUUCAGUGUUAUCAGUGCGGGAGGUUGUCAGAUAUCACAACAAUUUGAAAAGAUGAGACUUUGUGUAAAAAAAAACAAAAAAAAACUUGCAGUCUCUGUGCUUCCUGUUUUGACUUCUUUCCCUCUGCCAGCGCUGAUGCUGAGGUUCAGGAGAAGCCUGCAGUGAGUCCUGCGUGCCUCGGUACGCCACCAUGAUGUCUCAAUUUGCGCGUGCAACAACCAAUGCGGCCACUUUAAACUACGCUUUAGAGGUUCACUUUUUGUUGAAGCAACAAUAAAAAUGAGAAAAUGCUUUAAACGAUAUUGAAUUGAAUAUCUGGGACCAGGUGGAAAAAUAUAUUGCAUACCUCCAAAGUAAGAAGUAAAUACCCUACACUGACAAAAGCUGCUUUUUUUUUUAAAAAAAAAAAGGUUGGACAGUAGACGGAGGUGCAGAAAAGCUCAAAUGCUUUAAUUUCCCAUGUUUCCAUGUAGAUUGCUCCAAAAGUGUGCCCUCUAUAUUUUAUCAGAUAAGUGUGAUUACAAAUGUACUUCCUGCCCCUUUAAAGCGAGCCUGUGCUUCCACCACAUGAAGCGUCUAACACUCUUGGACCAGCAGGUUUGUGUGAAUGAGGAAUGAUGUUUUCGUUUUUUUGUUGUUGUUUGUUGUUUUCUGUGCAGCUUGGAAUCCAAAGCUUGAGCUACUUAAAGAUUCAGCAGUUAUUAAAAAA
Molecule: long non-coding RNA, 902 nt
Organism: Archocentrus centrarchus (flier cichlid)
Lineage: Eukaryota; Metazoa; Chordata; Actinopteri; Cichliformes; Cichlidae
Exons: 2
Source: RefSeq, a predicted model, not a curated record